GACGUAGGGCGCGAGCGUUGUCCGGAUUUAUUGGGCGUAAAGAGCUCGUAGGCGGCUUGUCGCGUCGUCCGUGAAAACCUGGGGCUCAACCCCAGGCUUGCGGUCGAUACGGGCAGGCUCGAGUUCGGUAGGGGAGACUGGAAUUCCUGGUGUAGCGGUGAAAUGCGCAGAUAUCUGGAGGAACACCGGUGGCGAAGGCGGCAUCCUGGACCGACACUGACACUGAGGAGCAAAAGCCAGGGGAGCAAACGGG
Molecule: ribosomal RNA, 253 nt
Filed under: uncultured bacterium
Lineage: Bacteria
Description: partial 16S ribosomal RNA
Rfam family: Bacterial small subunit ribosomal RNA
Source: RNAcentral